AUUGAACGCUGGCGGCAGGCCUAACACAUGCAAGUCGAGCGGAUGAAGGGAGCUUGCUCCUGGAUUCAGCGGCGGACGGGUGAGUAAUGCCUAGGAAUCUGCCUGGUAGUGGGGGAUAACGUCCGGAAACGGGCGCUAAUACCGCAUACGUCCUGAUGGAGAAAGUGGGGGAUCUUCGGACCUCACGCUAUCAGAUGAGCCUAGGUCGGAUUAGCUAGUUGGUGGGGUAAAGGGCUACCAAGGCGACGAUCCGUAACUGGUCUGAGAGGAUGAUCAGUCACACGGGAAGUGAGACACGGUCAAGACGCCUACGGGAGGGAGCAGUGGGGAAUAGUGGACAGUGGGCGAAAGCCUGAUACAGCCAUGCCGCGUGUGUGAAGAAGGUCUUCGGAUUGUAAAGCACUUUUAGUUGGGAGGAAGGGCAGUAAGUUAAGACCUUGCUGUUUUGACGUUACCAACAGAAUAAGCACCGGCUAACUUCGUG
This 484-nucleotide ribosomal RNA is filed under the name uncultured bacterium. Its description in RNAcentral is "partial 16S ribosomal RNA". It matches the Rfam family "Bacterial small subunit ribosomal RNA", at positions 30 to 507 of the family's 1533-position model. The record is from RNAcentral.